AUCUCAAGAGCACAUGCAAUUAAGAUUAAAGAAUUUCGGUAUGCGAUGGGGAUGCGUUCCAUUAGGUAGUAGGCGGGGUAACGGCCCACCUAGCCAUCGAUGGAUAGGGGUUCUGAGAGGAAGGUCCCCCACAUUGGAACUGAGACACGGUCCAAACUCCUACGGGAGGCAGCAGUGAGGAAUAUUGGUCAAUGGGCGCGAGCCUGAACCAGCCAAGUAGCGUGAAGGAUGACUGCCCUAUGGGUUGUAAACUUCUUUUGUCCGGGAAUAAAACCGCCUACGUGUAGGCGCUUGUAUGUACCGGUACGAAUAAGCAUCGGCUAACUCCGUGCCAGCAGCCGCGGUAAUACGGAGGAUGCGAGCGUUAUCCGGAUUUAUU
RNAcentral lists this ribosomal RNA (379 nucleotides) under Bacteroides sp. enrichment culture clone KH101. Its description in RNAcentral is "bacterial SSU rRNA". It matches the Rfam family "Bacterial small subunit ribosomal RNA", at positions 173 to 555 of the family's 1533-position model. The record is from RNAcentral. Lineage: Bacteria; Pseudomonadati; Bacteroidota; Bacteroidia; Bacteroidales; Bacteroidaceae.